ACGCUGGCGGCGUGCCUAAUACAUGCAAGUCGAACGGUCUUUCUAUGGAAGCUUGCUUCCACUGAGAAGAUAGUGGCGAACGGGUGAGUAACACGUGGGUAACCUGCCCAUAAGAGGGGGAUAACAUCCGGAAACGGGUGCUAAUACCGCAUAGUUUUCUUGAUCGCAUGAUCGGGAAAGGAAAGACGGCCUUUGUGCUGUCGCUUAUGGAUGGACCCGCGGCGUAUUAGUUAGUUGGUGAGGUAACGGCUCACCAAGACGAUGAUACGUAGCCGACCUGAGAGGGUGAUCGGCCACAUUGGGACUGAGACACGGCCCAAACUCCUACGGGAGGCAGCAGUAGGGAAUCUUCCGCAAUGGACGAAAGUCUGACGGAGCAGCGCCGCGUGAGUGAAGAAGGUUUUUUCGGAUCGUAAAACUCUGUUGUCAGAGAAGAACAAGUUGGAGAGUAACUGCUCCAGCCUUGACGGUAUCUGACCAGAAAGCCACGGCUAACUACGUGCCAGCAGCAGC
Molecule: ribosomal RNA, 513 nt
Filed under: uncultured bacterium
Lineage: Bacteria
Description: bacterial SSU rRNA
Rfam family: Bacterial small subunit ribosomal RNA
Source: RNAcentral